Thunnus maccoyii (southern bluefin tuna) is the source of this 326-nucleotide long non-coding RNA. RefSeq lists it as uncharacterized. Lineage: Eukaryota; Metazoa; Chordata; Actinopteri; Scombriformes; Scombridae. The record is from RefSeq and is a predicted model, not a curated record. The transcript is spliced from 3 exons.
UUUCUUGCAGCUGUGAGCACCUCCUUCAAUUCCUUUGAGAAUUGCAUUCUGGGAGUGUCCAUCAACAACACUCUCAAAAAUGAAGUUCUUCAUUUUGCAGGGCCUGUUGUCGCUCCCUUUCCUUCACCAGCUGCACACCACAGUAGGUCACCAGUAACACUGAGAGGGUGGACAGAGGAAAUCCUGGAGGAAGUGGAGCAGGAGAAAAAAAGGGAAAAAGUAUGACUUUAAAGGAAUAAAAUGGUGGAAAAGAGAAGAGCUUGGCCACCCACAGCUCAAAGUUCAGGCCGAAGCAGUUGAAAAAGGACCAGAUGUAAACCAGCUCA